GUCUACAGCCAUGCCACCUUGAACAAGCCCGAUGUCUGAUCUCAGAAGCUAAGCAGGGUUGGGCCUGGUUAGUACUUGGAUGGGAGACCACGUAGGAAGACCAGGUGCUGUAUGCA
RNAcentral lists this ribosomal RNA (116 nucleotides) under Pteropus alecto (black flying fox). The record is from RNAcentral. RNAcentral also lists the same sequence under 1 other name. Lineage: Eukaryota; Metazoa; Chordata; Mammalia; Chiroptera; Pteropodidae.